UCUUUUAUGGUUUUCCCUGAUAUCUGUCAUUUAUUUUAACUUCAAAAAUUUCAGACUUGGUGUGCCUCCUUUGUGGUUCAUAUGUAUGCAGCUUUGCCAAUUUCAGUGCUUUUUCCUUUCCUAUAUUUCAUGAUAGAGGAUUUCCAAAUAGCAAAAAGGGAGGAGGAUAUUGGUUUCUAUGCUGGUUUUGUGGGCUCUGCAUGUAUGUUGGGCGAGCUUUAACUUCUGUAAUCUGGGGGAUAAUAGCUGAUCGAUAUGGUCGAAGACCUGUCAUGAUAUUUGGCAGUGUUAGUAAAGCUGAUUUUCCCAUGUUUCAAUGUCACCCAUUGAUCAAGUUUUCACUAGUUAAAGGACAAGUUGCUCAUUGAUCAUGUGCAUCCAAAUAUCCAUCUCCUUUUUUUUGACGAUAAUGACUAUAAGUUUCAGGGCUAUUUUCAACACACUUUUUGGAUUCAGUAGAAGCUUUUGGAUGGCAGUCUCUACGAAGUUUCUCCGUGGAAGUUUGUGUGGCAUACUUUGACCA
Molecule: long non-coding RNA, 523 nt
Organism: Ziziphus jujuba (common jujube)
Lineage: Eukaryota; Viridiplantae; Streptophyta; Magnoliopsida; Rosales; Rhamnaceae
Exons: 3
Source: RefSeq, a predicted model, not a curated record